AUUGAACGCUGGCGGCAUGCCUUACACAUGCAAGUCGAACGGCAGCACGGGGGCGAACCCUGGUGGCGAGUGGCGAACGGGUGAGUAAUGCAUCGGAACGUGCCCCGUACGCGGGGGAGUAACCAGUCGAAAGAACUGGCUAAUACGCAUACGCUCCACGGAGGAAAGACAGGGGAGUCGCAAGACCUUGCACUAUGGGAGGCGGCCGAUGCCCGAUUA
Molecule: ribosomal RNA, 219 nt
Filed under: uncultured bacterium
Lineage: Bacteria
Description: partial 16S ribosomal RNA
Rfam family: Bacterial small subunit ribosomal RNA
Source: RNAcentral